CAGCCGCCGCGGUAAUCCGGAGGGUGCAAGCGUUAAUCGGAAUUACUGGGCGUAAAGCGCACGCAGGCGGUUUGUUAAGUCAGAUGUGAAAUCCCCGGGCUCAACCUGGGAACUGCAUCUGAUACUGGCAAGCUUGAGUCUCGUAGAGGGGGGUAGAAUUCCAGGUGUAGCGGUGAAAUGCGUAGAGAUCUGGAGGAAUACCGGUGGCGAAGGCGGCCCCCUGGACGAAGACUGACGCUCAGGUGCGAAAGCGUGGGGAGCAAACAGGAUUAGAUACCCUGGUAGUCCACGCCGUAAACGAUGUCGACUUGGAGGUUGUGCCCUUGAGGCGUGGCUUCCGGAGCUAACGCGUUAAGUCGACCGCCUGGGGAGUACGGCCGCAAGGUUAAAACUCAAAUGAAUUG
This 404-nucleotide ribosomal RNA is filed under the name uncultured soil bacterium. RNAcentral describes it as "bacterial SSU rRNA". It matches the Rfam family "Bacterial small subunit ribosomal RNA", at positions 509 to 912 of the family's 1533-position model. The record is from RNAcentral.